Molecule: ribosomal RNA, 254 nt
Filed under: uncultured bacterium
Lineage: Bacteria
Description: partial 16S ribosomal RNA
Rfam family: Bacterial small subunit ribosomal RNA
Source: RNAcentral
UACGGGGGGGAGCAAGCGUUGUUCGGAAUUACUGGGCGUAAAGGGCGCGUAGGCGGCCUUCUAAGUCGAACGUGAAAUCCCCGGGCUCAACCCGGGAACUGCGUCCGAUACUGGAAGGCUUGAAUCCGGGAGAGGGAUGCGGAAUUCCAGGUGUAGCGGUGAAAUGCGUAGAUAUCUGGAGGAACACCGGUGGCGAAGGCGGCAUCCUGGACCGGCAUUGACGCUGAGGCGCGAAAGCCAGGGGAGCAAACGGG